UGGGGAAUUUUGGACAAUGGGCGAAAGCCUGAUCCAGCAAUGCCGCGUGUGUGGGAAGAAGGCCUUCGGGUUGUAAAGCACUUUUGUCCGGAAAGAAAUCCUUGGCUCUAAUACAGUCGGGGGAUGACGGUACCGGAAGAAUAAGCACCGGCUAACUACGUGCCAGCAGCCGCGGUAAUACGUAGGGUGCAAGCGUUAAUCGGAAUUACUGGGCGUAAAGCGUGCGCAGGCGGUUUGCUAAGACCGAUGUGAAAUCCCCGGGCUCAACCUGGGAACUGCAUUGGUGACUGGCAGGCUAGAGUAUGGCAGAGGGGGGUAGAAUUCCACGUGUAGCAGUGAAAUGCGUAGAGAUGUGGAGGAAUACCGAUGGCGAAGGCAGCCCCCUGGGCCAAUACUGACGCUCAUGCACGAAAGCGUGGGGAGCAAACAGGAUUAGAUACCCUGGUAGUCCACGCCCUAAACGAUGUCAACUAGUUGUUGGGGAUUCAUUUCCUUAGUAACGUAGCUAACGCGUGAAGUUGACCGCCUGGGGAGUACGGUCGCAAGAUUAAAACUCAAAUGAAUUGACGGGGUCAUAGCUGUUUCCU
Molecule: ribosomal RNA, 587 nt
Filed under: uncultured bacterium
Lineage: Bacteria
Description: partial 16S ribosomal RNA
Rfam family: Bacterial small subunit ribosomal RNA
Source: RNAcentral